Bos taurus (domestic cattle) is the source of this 413-nucleotide long non-coding RNA. The record is from Ensembl. NCBI's taxonomy places the organism in Eukaryota, Metazoa, Chordata, Mammalia, Artiodactyla, Bovidae.
UGUGUCAUUUGGACUCUCGGGCAGCUAUAUGAUGCUGCCUCACUUCUCACUUCACCAAGACAAGUGAAGAAGCCAGAGAACUUCCAAGCUCCACCCGCCACCACCCACGCUCUGCCUCCGCGCCCAUCUGUUACCCGCAGGCUCCUCUCUGGCUGAGCAGCCGCCUGGUGCUAGCUCCAGUCUCCUCUGCUUACCUGAAGACAUCACUCCACACAUCCCUUUCUGUUCUGCAUCACUUUUAAAAGAAGCCCUCAUUGGAUCAGACUGAUUUACAAACAUGCUGUUAUUUUUCUGAAUAAAAAAGAUUUUUUUAUUGAUCCUAUUUCUCUUGAAAACUAUGGCCCCAUUUCUUUCCUCUCUUUUGCAACAAAACCCCUUUAGUGUUGUCCAUUCUGCUCCCCAAUUCAUUAAGG